RNAcentral lists this long non-coding RNA (930 nucleotides) under Fukomys damarensis (Damara mole-rat). Its description in RNAcentral is "lncRNA (ENSFDAG00000028548.1)". Lineage: Eukaryota; Metazoa; Chordata; Mammalia; Rodentia; Bathyergidae. The record is from RNAcentral.
GCCCAGGAAGGGCACGGAAGCUCUGUAUCCCCUUAUCUCACCACUCAGCUGUUCCUGAGCUGUAGCCUUUAUCAUAAGACUGUAACGGAAAUACGGCACUUACAUGAGUAUUUCCAGGGAAUUGCUGAACCCGAGGGGAGCCGCAGGAACCCCUAAAUGUGUAGUCGGUAGGGCAGAAGUGCAGCAGUCGGGGGAGCCUGGGCUGUGAUGUGUCAGAAGUGGAGACAGCCUUCUGGGGUUGCGAGAGCCCCAUGGUGGCCGAGCGCACACAGUGCUGUUGCCGUGGGCAUGAGGGAUCUCACAGGCCGAUGGACUCGGAAAGCGAGGCCUGGAACACAGAUCGCGUGGCUCCUGAAGAGCGCCUUGCACUGUAACAAAUCUCAAGCUCUCCCUUUCAGAAUUUGUCAUACAUUUUUAAACUACGGACCUACGGAAAAGAGAAACGCUAUGUCUUGUCUUCGAUCCCUCGGGUGCAGAUCUGCAUCCCGCCUGGGGAGAAGGAGCCCUGAAUCGUCUGUGGGCCGCUUGGCAUCUGAGAGUCCAGCCCCAGGGCCGAUUUCCCAGUUACAGAAGCGAAAACGUUCGCGUUUUGGACAAAAGCCGGUUCGAGUUGGACUUCUUACCUCACAGCUGAAAGCCCCAGUUACUGCGAAGGGCCCGUUACCCAAUUCCUCUUCCGGAAGCAGGAGAGCUACUUUGUGGUAUCCGAAAUACAGUUUCGCGGAGCGGCAAAAAACACACCGGCCGGCUGGCGGCGCCCGCGGGCCUCUCCAGGCCUCUGCCCACCCGAGCGAGCUGGAAGCUCCGGGAGCGGCAGGGGAUUCCGAGCCCUGCAGGGGGCGCUGUGAGCUCCUCAGCUCUGCCUUCGGCUCGGCCUCUCACACCGCGCUGGGAGCACCGUCCGAGGUCGCAGGAUCUGAAACACCCUAG